AUCAAAGUGUUUGUGCUGUUAGAGUGGUAUUAGUGUUGUUGUAAGUGUAGUUUUAGCACCCCCAACAGGAGAUUUUGUAAAUAGCAAGUGACGUCACAGGAAGUAAAAAAUCGGUGGAUGUUUACAUGGUGCUUGACGUCUGAUCAUUAUCCACGUCCAUCUGCCUCCAUCCUUCGUCUUUCGUGUUAUCGUCUUUUCACACUUUCUGCAUUAGUAAACCUGUGGACAAAGAGAAUUGUCUUCAGUGUGUUAAUGGAAGAAAGGUGUUGAACCUUGCUGCCGGUCCUCUACUUCGUGGUGAAGUGGGAAAGACAGUACAGUG
This is a long non-coding RNA of Xiphophorus hellerii (green swordtail), 322 nucleotides long. RefSeq lists it as uncharacterized. The transcript has 2 exons. Lineage: Eukaryota; Metazoa; Chordata; Actinopteri; Cyprinodontiformes; Poeciliidae. The record is from RefSeq and is a predicted model, not a curated record.